RNAcentral lists this ribosomal RNA (263 nucleotides) under uncultured bacterium. RNAcentral's name for it is "partial 16S ribosomal RNA". It matches the Rfam family "Bacterial small subunit ribosomal RNA", at positions 524 to 786 of the family's 1533-position model. The record is from RNAcentral.
UACGUAGGGGGCGAGCGUUGUCCGGAAUUACUGGGCGUAAAGGGCGUGUAGGCGGUUUUGUAAGUCAGGUGUGAAACCUGUGGGCUCAACCCAUAGCAUGCACUUGAAACUGCAGGACUUGAGGGUAGGAGAGGAAAGUGGAAUUCCUAGUGUAGCGGUGAAAUGCGUAGAUAUUAGGAGGAACACCAGUGGCGAAGGCGACUUUCUGGCCUAACCCUGACGCUGAGGCGCGAAAGCGUGGGGAGCAAACAGGAUUAGAUACC